CCCCAUAAGAACCCCUAUAAAUAGAGGGCACCCCCCACUCAUUAAAGGCAGGUCAUUUGGAGAAGAAGGAUUCCUAGCGAAGCAGAGCUCUGCGCACUUGAGUUCCGGUCCGGUUUCCCGCGGAGUUCCCCACUUGGCGCUUGCUUGCGCGUCUUGGAGUACUGGUCGGGUUUCACCCCCAUCAGUUGGCGCCGUCUGUGACUCAAAGAUACUCACGACAAAAGCUCCUCGACUUUUUCGAAAAAAGUGAUCGACUUUUUUCCAAGUCGCCAGCUAGGGAGUCUUGCGAGGAAAUCAGCCAGCAAGGGAUCAACUUUUCAGAAGAUCGACUUUUUCUUCCAAGGAAAAAAAGUCGAUCCCUCAAGGAGCUAGGCUUUCAGGCAUCGACUUCCAAGGAAUCCUCCAAGUGCACUAGGGAUCGACUUUUUGAAGAUCGACUU
RNAcentral lists this long non-coding RNA (440 nucleotides) under Zostera marina. RNAcentral describes it as "long non-coding RNA (ZMAR_LNC000191)". The record is from RNAcentral. Lineage: Eukaryota; Viridiplantae; Streptophyta; Magnoliopsida; Alismatales; Zosteraceae.